GGAGAGAUGGCCGAGUGGUUGAAGGCGGUAGAUUCGAAAUCUACUUUACCGAGAGGUAACGGGGGUUCGAAUCCCCCUCUCUCCUCCA
This 88-nucleotide transfer RNA is filed under the name Deltaproteobacteria bacterium. RNAcentral's name for it is "tRNA-Ser". It matches the Rfam family "tRNA". From Rfam's summary of the family: Transfer RNA (tRNA) molecules are approximately 80 nucleotides in length. Their secondary structure includes four short double-helical elements and three loops (D, anti-codon, and T loops). The record is from RNAcentral. Lineage: Bacteria; Pseudomonadati; Myxococcota; Myxococcia.